UACGUAGGGGGCAAGCGUUGUCCGGAUUUAUUGGGCGUAAAGAGCGUGUAGGCGGCCAGAUAGGUCAGCUGUGAAAACUCGAGGCUCAACCUCGAGACGUCGGUUGAAACCAUCUGGCUAGAGUCCGGAAGAGGAGAGUGGAAUUCCCGGUGUAGCGGUGAAAUGCGCAGAUAUCGGGAAGAACACCCGUGGCGAAGGCGGCUCCCUGGGACGGUACUGACGCUGAGACGCGAAAGCGUGGGGAGCGAACAGG
RNAcentral lists this ribosomal RNA (253 nucleotides) under uncultured bacterium. RNAcentral describes it as "partial 16S ribosomal RNA". It matches the Rfam family "Bacterial small subunit ribosomal RNA", at positions 524 to 776 of the family's 1533-position model. The record is from RNAcentral.